GACGAACGCUGGCGGCGUGCUUAACACAUGCAAGUCGAACGGAAAGGCCCUGCUUUUGUGGGGUGCUCGAGUGGCGAACGGGUGAGUAACACGUGAGUAACCUGCCCUUAACUUUGGGAUAACUUCAGGAAACUGGGGCUAAUACCGGAUAGGAGCUCCUGCUGCAUGGUGGGGGUUGGAAAUUUUCGGCGGUUGGGGAUGGACUCGCGGCUUAUCAGCUUGUUGGUGGGGUAGUGGCUUACCAAGGCUUUGACGGGUAGCCGGCCUGAGAGGGUGACCGGCCACAUUGGGACUGAGAUACGGCCCAGACUCCUACGGGAGGCAGCAGUGGGGAAUAUUGCACAAUGGGCGGAAGCCUGAUGCAGCAACGCCGCGUGCGGGAUGACGGCCUUCGGGUUGUAAACCGCUUUCGCCUGUGACGAAGCGUGAGUGACGGUAAUGGGUAAAGAAGCACCGGCUAACUACGUG
Molecule: ribosomal RNA, 468 nt
Filed under: uncultured bacterium
Lineage: Bacteria
Description: partial 16S ribosomal RNA
Rfam family: Bacterial small subunit ribosomal RNA
Source: RNAcentral